GUUCAUUUUUUUUUUAAUCUCAAGGUGUUCUUGAUUUAAUCAGGCACAUCCUUGAUUGCUCUGUCCUGAAGCUCUACCCUUAGUUUUGGGCAAAGAGAUCCCAGGGAGGUUUCCCCUGAGAACUGUGAUAUCACCCCAAACUGUGGAUUUUGUUCUCAUCCCACGCAGAGACUGAGAUUCCUGGCUUCGCUCUGGGCCCAAGUGGAUCAGCUCCCUUCAGACCAGAUUGCCCUGGUCUGGGACUCUGCUUUUCCACAGUCAGAGAGGAGAAGACACUAUCAAGACUUGAGGAUUAUUUGGAUAACCUUUUUAAGGAGGUGGCAAUUGAGUUGAGUCCUAAAGGGUGUUCGGGAUUCCAAGAGAUGAAAAUGAGGAUUUGAGACAUAUAGGAAGAGCCUAUGCAAAUAGAAAAGGUCUCCGUCAGCAGUGGGAGAAGAAAAUUUGCACAAUAUAUUAGCCCAAACAGUUUCCUGAGUAGCAACUGCUAUUUCGAGUGCACUUGGAACACCUCCAAAAGUCUGAGAAAGACGCCCAAGUAAGAUUACUGAAAUGAGCAGUACAGCACUGGGGUCUAAUGCUAACCUUCUGGAAGGCAAGGUAGGCAGCCCGGACUCUAAACUGAGAUGCUGAGCACAUCUGCACACUGCCUUGGAAGUGUCAGACCAGCUCCUCAGCCCAAUUCAAGGAAAAACGGAGAGACAGAGAGACAAAAGAGAAGAGAAAGAGGAGAGAAAUUGAGAGAGAAGGAAACAGAGAGAGACGGAGACAGACAGAGAGAGAGAAGAGAGAGAGUUCUUCCACCAGAGGAACUUAGUUCAUCUUGGACAGGAGAAAAAUAAACUUGAAAACUCAGAGACAGCUUCAUGGAAAAAUGUUAAACGCAAGGAUUACCAUCCUCUAAUUCAGACAUUUCUCUAAUUAUAAGAGCAUUGGAUUUCAAGUUAGAGAACUUAGGUCAAAAUUCAAUACUUG
Monodelphis domestica (gray short-tailed opossum) is the source of this 972-nucleotide long non-coding RNA. The record is from Ensembl. Lineage: Eukaryota; Metazoa; Chordata; Mammalia; Didelphimorphia; Didelphidae.